GAUGAAGAACGCAGCGAAAUGCGAUAAGUAAAGUGAAUUGCAGAAUUCAGUGAAUCAUCGAAUCUUUGAACGCACAUUGCGCCCGCCAGUAUUCUGGCGGGCAUGCCUGUUCGAGCGUCAUUUCAACCAUCAAGCCCCCGGCUUGUGUUGGGGACCUGCGGCUGCCGCAGGCCCUGAAAAGCAGUGGCGGGCUCGCUGUCACACCGAGCGUAGUAGCAUACAUCUCGCUCUGGGCGUGCUGCGGGUUCCGGCCGUUAAACCACCUUCAUAACCCAAGGUUGACCUCGGAUCAGGUAGGAAGACCCGCUGAACUUAAGCAUAUCAAUAAGCGGAGGA
This 336-nucleotide unclassified non-coding RNA is filed under the name soil metagenome. RNAcentral describes it as "partial contains 5.8S ribosomal RNA, internal transcribed spacer 2, and large subunit ribosomal RNA". The stretch from base 1 to 120 matches the Rfam family "5.8S ribosomal RNA", at positions 35 to 154 of the family's 154-position model. The record is from RNAcentral.